Molecule: small RNA, 148 nt
Filed under: Papio anubis (olive baboon)
Lineage: Eukaryota; Metazoa; Chordata; Mammalia; Primates; Cercopithecidae
Description: Metazoan signal recognition particle RNA (ENSPANG00000043160.1)
Source: Rfam by way of RNAcentral
GCUGGGCAUGCUGGCGUGUGCCUGUAAUCCCAGCUACUCGGGAGGCUGAGGCAGAAGAAUCGCUUGAACCCGGGAGGUGGGGGUUGAAGUGAGCUGAGAUCGCGCCACUGCACUCCAGCCUGGGUGACAGAAUGAGACUCUGUCUCAA